RNAcentral lists this ribosomal RNA (90 nucleotides) under Dehalococcoidales bacterium. RNAcentral describes it as "partial 16S ribosomal RNA". It matches the Rfam family "Bacterial small subunit ribosomal RNA", at positions 1 to 97 of the family's 1533-position model. The record is from RNAcentral. Lineage: Bacteria; Bacillati; Chloroflexota; Dehalococcoidia; Dehalococcoidales.
UUUUUGGAGAGUUUGAUCCCGGCUCAGGAUAAACGCUGGCGGUGUGCUUUAUGCAUGCAAGUCGAACGGACAUUAGCAAUAAUGUUAGUG